Molecule: unclassified non-coding RNA, 148 nt
Organism: Pongo abelii (Sumatran orangutan)
Lineage: Eukaryota; Metazoa; Chordata; Mammalia; Primates; Hominidae
Rfam family: Metazoan signal recognition particle RNA
About the family: The signal recognition particle (SRP) is a universally conserved ribonucleoprotein. It is involved in the co-translational targeting of proteins to membranes. The eukaryotic SRP consists of a 300-nucleotide 7S RNA and six proteins: SRPs 72, 68, 54, 19, 14, and 9.
Source: Ensembl
GCCGGGCGUGGUGGCGCACGUCUGUAAUCCCAGCUACUUGGGAGGCUGAGGCAGGAGAAUCGCUUGAACCCAGGAGGCGGAGGUUGCAGUGAGCCAAGAUCACGCCACUGCACUCCAGCCGGGGCAACAGAGUGAGACUCUGCCUCAA